UGGAACGUGGCGCAGUUGGUUAGCGCAGUAGACUGUUAAUCUAUUGGUCGUGGGUUCGAGUCCCACCGUUCCAGCCA
RNAcentral lists this transfer RNA (77 nucleotides) under Halobacteriovoraceae bacterium. RNAcentral's name for it is "tRNA-Asn". It matches the Rfam family "tRNA". From Rfam's summary of the family: Transfer RNA (tRNA) molecules are approximately 80 nucleotides in length. Their secondary structure includes four short double-helical elements and three loops (D, anti-codon, and T loops). Further hydrogen bonds mediate the characteristic L-shaped molecular structure. tRNAs have two regions of fundamental functional importance: the anti-codon, which is responsible for specific mRNA codon recognition, and the 3' end, to which the tRNAs corresponding amino acid is attached (by aminoacyl-tRNA synthetases). tRNAs cope with the degeneracy of the genetic code in two manners: having more than one tRNA (with a specific anti-codon) for a particular amino acid; and 'wobble' base-pairing, i.e. permitting non-standard base-pairing at the 3rd anti-codon position. The record is from RNAcentral. Lineage: Bacteria; Pseudomonadati; Bdellovibrionota; Bacteriovoracia; Bacteriovoracales; Halobacteriovoraceae. RNAcentral also lists the same sequence under 1 other name.